UACGAAGGGGGCUAGCGUUGCUCGGAAUCACUGGGCGUAAAGCGCACGUAGGCGGAUUGUUAAGUCAGGGGUGAAAUCCUGGAGCUCAACUCCAGAACUGCCUUUGAUACUGAAGAUCUUGAGUUCGGGAGAGGUGAGUGGAACUGCGAGUGUAGAGGUGAAAUUCGUAGAUAUUCGCAAGAACACCAGUGGCGAAGGCGGCUCACUGGCCCGAUACUGACGCUGAGGCACGAAAGCGUGGGGAGCAAACAGG
Molecule: ribosomal RNA, 253 nt
Filed under: uncultured bacterium
Lineage: Bacteria
Description: partial 16S ribosomal RNA
Rfam family: Bacterial small subunit ribosomal RNA
Source: RNAcentral